CCAAACUUGGUCAUUUAGAGGAAGUAAAAGUCGUAACAAGGUUUCCGUAGGUGAACCUGCGGAAGGAUCAUUAAUAAAUAAAAUCAUCAUUUGAUGAGCCUUGUGUGCACUGUAAAAAUGAACGGGGGAAGACUCAGCAGAAGCGCUAAGUUUCUUGCUGGCUUCCCCCGAAAUUUAUACACGCAUUCAAACUUUUUGUAAAAAAAAUUAUUUUAAAAUAAAAUACAACUUUCAACAACGGAUCUCUUGGCUCUCGCAUCGAUGAAGAACGCAGC
Molecule: unclassified non-coding RNA, 275 nt
Filed under: uncultured fungus
Lineage: Eukaryota; Fungi
Description: partial contains small subunit ribosomal RNA, internal transcribed spacer 1, and 5.8S ribosomal RNA
Rfam family: Eukaryotic small subunit ribosomal RNA (bases 1-73)
Source: RNAcentral